RNAcentral lists this ribosomal RNA (510 nucleotides) under Planococcus plakortidis. RNAcentral's name for it is "bacterial SSU rRNA". It matches the Rfam family "Bacterial small subunit ribosomal RNA", at positions 93 to 590 of the family's 1533-position model. The record is from RNAcentral. Lineage: Bacteria; Bacillati; Bacillota; Bacilli; Caryophanales; Caryophanaceae.
UAGCGGCGGACGGGUGAGUAACACGUGGGCAACCUGCCCUGCAGAUCGGGAUAACUCCGGGAAACCGGUGCUAAUACCGAAUAGUUUGCGGCCUCUCAUGAGGCUGCACGGAAAGACGGUUUCGGCUGUCACUGCAGGAUGGGCCCGCGGCGCAUUAGCUAGUUGGUGGGGUAACGGCCCACCAAGGCGACGAUGCGUAGCCGACCUGAGAGGGUGAUCGGCCACACUGGGACUGAGACACGGCCCAGACUCCUACGGGAGGCAGCAGUAGGGAAUCUUCCGCAAUGGACGAAAGUCUGACGGAGCAACGCCGCGUGAGUGAAGAAGGUUUUCGGAUCGUAAAACUCUGUUGUGAGGGAAGAACAAGUACCAAGUAACUACUGGUACCUUGACGGUACCUCACCAGAAAGCCACGGCUAACUACGUGCCAGCAGCCGCGGUAAUACGUAGGUGGCAAGCGUUGUCCGGAAUUAUUGGGCGUAAAGCGCGCGCAGGCGGUCCUUUAAGUCU